CUUCCUUGGAAAUCAUUGACUAGCAUCAUUGAAUAUUAUUACAUGUGGAAAACUACUGACAGAUAUGUGCAACAGAAACGUCUAAAAGCAGCAGAAGCUGAGAGUAAACUGAAACAAGUAUAUAUCCCAACUUACUACACAGUCUCACCAGUGGUAUUCUUGGGGCCCACCUAAUAUGCAGUGUAGAUUAUGUGCAAUUUGUUGGCUUUAUUGGAAAAAAUAUGGAGGCUUGAAAAUGCCCACCCAGUCAGAAGAAGAGAAGUUAUCUCCUAGCCCAACUACAGAGGACCCUCGUGUUAGAAGUCACGUGUCCCGCCAGGCCAUGCAGGGAAUGCCAGUGCGAAACACUGGGAGUCCAAAGUCUGCAGUGAAGACCCGCCAAGCUUUCUUCCUUCAUACUACAUAUUUCACAAAAUUUGCUCGUCAGGUCUGCAAAAAUACCCUCCGGCUGCGGCAGGCAGCAAGACGGCCGUUUGUUGCUAUUAAUUAUGCUGCCAUUAGGGCAGAAUGUAAGAUGCUUUUAAAUUCUUAACCUUAUAUGUUGUGCUUCUGACCAUUUUCUCUUUUCCUCUCUUUCCUUUUUUUUUGUUUGUUUGUUUGCAAUAAACAUAAGUUCUUGUGUA
Molecule: small RNA, 623 nt
Filed under: Pan troglodytes (chimpanzee)
Lineage: Eukaryota; Metazoa; Chordata; Mammalia; Primates; Hominidae
Description: processed transcript
Source: RNAcentral